UGAUGGAGCAUUGUUAGCAGGCCAC
This 25-nucleotide non-coding RNA is filed under the name Mus musculus (house mouse). The record is from RNAcentral. Lineage: Eukaryota; Metazoa; Chordata; Mammalia; Rodentia; Muridae.